CAAGGAAGGAGAAAUCCAUUCCAAUUCUCAAGUGAUCGGCAGAACUCUAGAUGGGACAGCUAUGAUGGCUCUUGGGACUCUGAGGCUGGUGAUGAAACUCUGCAAUUUAAAAUGAUGUGGUGACACUAAUAAAUUGCUAAUAAAUGGAAAACAGAGUCCAUCUCCAGUACCUAGGGUUAGAAACUAAAUACAAAUAAGCAAG
This 202-nucleotide long non-coding RNA is filed under the name Fukomys damarensis (Damara mole-rat). RNAcentral's name for it is "lncRNA (ENSFDAG00000023648.1)". The record is from RNAcentral. Lineage: Eukaryota; Metazoa; Chordata; Mammalia; Rodentia; Bathyergidae.